This 253-nucleotide ribosomal RNA is filed under the name uncultured bacterium. RNAcentral's name for it is "partial 16S ribosomal RNA". It matches the Rfam family "Bacterial small subunit ribosomal RNA", at positions 524 to 776 of the family's 1533-position model. The record is from RNAcentral.
UACGGAGGAUCCAAGCGUUAUCCGGAAUCAUUGGGUUUAAAGGGUCCGUAGGCGGUUUUAUAAGUCAGUGGUGAAAUCCGGCAGCUUAACUGUCGAACUGCCAUUGAUACUGUAGAACUUGAAUUAUUGUGAAGUAACUAGAAUAUGUAGUGUAGCGGUGAAAUGCUUAGAUAUUACAUGGAAUACCAAUUGCGAAGGCAGGUUACUAACAAUACAUUGACGCUGAUGGACGAAAGCGUGGGGAGCGAACAGG